AGCUGUUCCACAAGGUCCUCAACGUCUCCUGAAUACAUUGUGUCUGGGACAAUGUACUCCUCAUAAUCGACCCCCAGAAGCACGAUCACGCCCAUUCCGGAAGACACUCCGAUCACCUCCACCGUCUCCUCAAUGAGCCGCCUUUCUGAAACCUGUGUUUUUACAGGCAUGUUUAAAUAAGCUCUGUUAUUAACAUUACUUCUCACUUUGUCUUCCUCAGUCUCUCUCACAUUCUUUUAACCCCCCACAUGCACACACACUGGGGCUCGAGUUUGAGAGAGACUGAUUUAAAGAAAUAAUAUUAUGCAUUACAUAGUGUACCUUUACGGUGGUGUAUGUGGAAGAAUUGAAUUUAAUGUUUCCAUUCGGUUUAGUGUUUGGGCGGAGGUGGGUCAGCUCCACAGUGUCUCCAUUUAACACCUCGAUAAGAGCCUCAUCUCUCCACAGAGAAACCUCAACUGCUCUUGAGUUGCAGUUUAGCUUAAAGUCCAGGACGGGCACUUUACCAAAUUGCACCUGUGCCAUCCUCACCUCCUGCAACUACAAAUCACAUACCAGAGGAGACUGACGUACCCAUCUUCUGAAGGGUCCACUUUGUCCACGGAGACCAGAGGGGAAUGUGGAACAAGGAUCUCUCUGGCCCUUCUCUCCUGAUCUUCAUUGUUUAAUCAGUGGGUCACAGUUGUUCCUGCUAUACUCACCAUUCUUCGAUGAAAUGCUACUGCCUUUCUUGUGACACGUGUGGCAACGCAUUUACAUUUCAGUGGCUCCGGACGGCUGUAUGGACUGCAUGUUGCCAUUGUGAUGCUAAGAACAAAUACACAGAAAGGGUAAUUAUGAAACUUGUUAAUCUGAUUCAAACAGGACACAAUGCAGUUAAUAUGUUUACUGUACAUACAAAGUUACAAUUGAGCUAUCUUUUUUUACUUCAUACUCCACAAGAAUGUAUUUAUUAAUUCAUGUAAUGGAUUUUGAUGUAUUGAACUUUCUUGUCAGGGAGUGAAAAAGGGCAGUCUCUGACAGCAUACCCUUUCUUUUUCUUUUUACUUCAUAACCUGACAGGAUUUCUCUUUUUUUAAAUGUGCAGAGUGUUUUAGCGGCAUCUAGCGGUGAGGUUUGUGAAUUGUAACCAACGGCUUAGCCCCUGCUCACCCGUCCCUUUAGAGAAGCUUUACAGAUUUUGUGAAGUAAAGAUUUUCCUCAGAAAAUAAACUUUCCCGUCAGGAAUUGAAGAAAUCCUGUUUCUGACAGGAAAUCUAUAAAAUAUAUUUCUUGUGAAGUCAAGAUUUAGAUCAGAAAAUGUGUUUUCCUGUCAGAGAUAAUUUUCCCCCCUCUUUUUUUUUUUUUACUUGAUAUUCUGACAGGAUUAACUGUUAUUCUGUUUUUUUUAACUCCAUAUUGCACAGGAAUUUAUGUAUUCAUUCACUAAAUUUAUUGAAUUAGUUAUUUAUUGAAAGUUAUUGAUAAUAUUUAUUGUGAAGUAAAGAUUUAAGAUUUAUUUAUCCUUCAUAUUAAAUUCUUUAAAUCCUGUCAGAAUGGGUUUUAUUAAUGUCAUGUCUUCAUAAUCUUUUAAAAAUCACUAAUGUUAUUUGAAAUCAGUUAAAAAAAUACUUCAGAAAAUUAUUUUUCCAGUCAGAAACACUUCUCUGACCAAAUCCUGUCAGAAUAGGGUUUAUUAUAUUACAGUCUCUGUCUAUCCUGUCACUGUCAUAUAGGCCCUUAUCACUUACAUUUUUUUUUUGGAAGAAUUUAAUUUGUAGUUGUAAAGUUACAACUUUUAAUCACUGUUUGUAGAAAAGUAAAAUUGACUCACCUCAGACAAUAUGUGGUUGUUGCUGCUGCAGAGUAGUCAGUGAGUCGAGUGAGAGGGGGUCAGUGGGCCAGUGGUCUUAAACUUGGCAGUGGUCCAAUCAGAUGACGUCACCGAGGCGCAUAGUAACAAGAGGGUAAACUUCCUCUCUCUCUGUCUCUCUCCCUCCCUCCCUGUGUGUGGUUGUGUGUGUAUAUAUACAGGUUUGAUUGUAAUUGUUUGAGGGCCAAAUGUUCUCACUUGUAUAGGGAAAUAUCAUGACAACCAAGUUGUGAGAACACUAGUUAAAAGGGCUUAUAAAUGAGCCAAAACAUGUUUUUAUUCAAAUUUAGUGUUUUGCACACAUUGGGUUUAGGGCAGAGGUCCUGAAGGGCCGGUGUCCUGCAGAGUUUAGCUCCAUUCUUGCCUCAACACACAUGCUGGGAAGUUUUGUAGUAUGCCUAGUAAGAGCUUGAUAAGCUGGUUCAGGUGUGUUUAUUUGUCUAAACUCUACAGGACACUGGUCCUCCAGGACUGAGUUUGGGCACCUCUGUUGUUUAUCAUACUGUUAACUUGAUUGAUGUGAUCAUCAUGCAACUAACAAAUCUAAUUUGUCAUAUGUUUGUUUUCUACAG
Molecule: long non-coding RNA, 2424 nt
Organism: Cyprinus carpio carpio
Lineage: Eukaryota; Metazoa; Chordata; Actinopteri; Cypriniformes; Cyprinidae
Source: Ensembl